Molecule: long non-coding RNA, 1128 nt
Filed under: Phoenix dactylifera (date palm)
Lineage: Eukaryota; Viridiplantae; Streptophyta; Magnoliopsida; Arecales; Arecaceae
Description: long non-coding RNA (PDAC_LNC015628)
Source: RNAcentral
CAAAGGGUGAAUGAAACUAAAGAAAUGCUUGAUGCUUAGGCUGUCCCAAGUCUCCUUUAAUUGCAAAUUCACUGUUCAAUGGACUAAAUGCCGAGUAGUUAGAUGUUUCAUCUUGUCUCUGAUACAAGUGUAAUUUUUUGGGAUCUUUCUAUUUUAGGUUUUAUCAAAUGGAACAUACCUUUUGGUGACUUUCCAUUAUCAAAUGUAUCAAAUCUUGUCUCUGUUUUUCUUUCUUUUUUCCCUUAAAGAAUCCUCCAAUCUUUGUGAUUUACUCAUCUUUUGGGUUCCACUGUUGGUGAUCUUCCUUACCCUAGAUUAUUCAGAUAUCAAACCUUUGAGAUCCCUAUCUUGUCUGUCAAGUAUCUUGAGACUUCCAAACCAGGAAACAGGAUGACCCCACUUCUGUCCUUUAAAAUACAACAACAAAAUUACAACUGAGAGGCCAAACAACACUAUUUUGCUUAAUAUUUUUGAUGAACCAUACUAUUAUUAUUUACAAGACUUGCAAUAUGCACAUUAUUUGCUGAUGUAAGAAAAAUAGCAAAGAGGGCCAAUUGGUUCACUUCCAUGUUUUUUUCUUUCUUUCUUUCUUUCUUUUUAAUGUAAAGGCUAAUGGCUGGUUGCUUGAAAAUUUUCCUUAUUUGGUAAGUAUGUUUCUUUAGAUUUUCAAUGGUUGUGAGUGGUCCUGUUAUGACAUUGAUUAAUGGCCACUUACGCAUGGUUAUGAGAAAAUAUCCUUUUCUAACCGCUGGUAAUACACAGUGGGCAUGGUUAGUGAUACUUGUUUGCUGUUUCUCUUGCAUUCAUCUUAAUUAUGGCAUCAACCAUGAUCAUCCCAUAUUAUAGCGUUGGCUUUACCGUACAUAUUGAAGGUCAUAUUUUCCAUCAUAAGAGGAUCUAAAAAUCAGUUACGACAACUCUGAUCUCCAUUUUUUUGAGACCUAUACACCUUUUAAAAGCUCUGAUGCAUCACUAAUUGGGAUAUGAACUAUCAUGAGCACAAAGCAUGCUAGGACUAAAUUCAUAGAGAACACCUGAGCUGGACUCUUUAACUUUACAUCUACCCUCCACGUUCAUAUCCAUGUAAGGACCAAUCUGUUUUUAAAGAAGCAAAAUGGGUAUGUUUCG